GAUGAACGCUGGCGGCGUGCCUAAUACAUGCAAGUCGAGCGAACGGACGAGAAGCUUGCUUCUCUGAUGUUAGCGGCGGACGGGUGAGUAACACGUGGAUAACCUACCUAUAUGUCUGGGAUAACUUCGGGAAACCGUAGCUUAUACCGGAUAAUAUUUUGAACCGCAUGGUUCAAAAGUGAAAGUCGGUCUUGCUGUCACUUAUAGAUGGAUCCGCGCUGCAUUAGCUAGUUGGUAGGGUAACGGCCUACCAAGGCAACGAUGCGUAGCCGAACUGAGAGAGUGAUCGGCCACACUAGAACUGAGACACGGACCAGACUACUACGGGAGGCAGCAGUAGGGAAUCUUCGGCAGUGGGCGAAAGCCUGACGGAGCAACGCUGCGUGAGUGAUGACGGUCUUCGGAUCGUAAAGCUCUGUUAUUAGGGAAGAACAGAUGUGUAAGUAACUGUGCCCAUCUUGACGGUACCUAAUCAGAAAGCAACGGCUAACUACGUG
Molecule: ribosomal RNA, 497 nt
Filed under: uncultured bacterium
Lineage: Bacteria
Description: partial 16S ribosomal RNA
Rfam family: Bacterial small subunit ribosomal RNA
Source: RNAcentral